Molecule: long non-coding RNA, 16541 nt
Filed under: Solanum tuberosum (potato)
Lineage: Eukaryota; Viridiplantae; Streptophyta; Magnoliopsida; Solanales; Solanaceae
Description: long non-coding RNA (STUB_LNC010946)
Source: RNAcentral
CAAGUAGUUGGAGUUUUGAGCUGGUUCUAUUGUACCUACCAUUGAAUUUUUUGAUCUCUUUUUUUUUUCUUCAGUUUUCUGGUGUAUAAUUGCCAUUGAAAAAUGAUCAAAUGUUCCACUUUCAAUUUAGUCAACUCAGUUUGUUUGAGCAAUCAUUUGUCUUGCUGUCUUAUAUUGUCUUGUAGUUUUAAUUUGUUUGUGUCACAAAGAUGUAGGGAUGAUAGAACUCAAAAGCGUAAAAGGGGUAGUCUGGUGCACAAAACAUUCUGUGUUAGCUAAGUUCAGGAAGGGCUGCAACUCAAGAAGUGUGAUGUAGACAACCUAAUACAAUGCAAGCAUUAGAGACUGUCUUCACGCUUCGAACUCGUGACCUAUAAAGUCGAUUUUAUGGUUGUUUUUGAACUUCUAUGCUUUUUAGCAAGAGAGUUUGAAUCUCGUGUGUCUACUAUAUCAACACAAAUAUUCUUUCAAAGUGAGUCGUGUUUCAUGAAUCAUGAGUAUGAUUAUAUCUAUUUUAGUUAAAGUUCUUAUCGUUCGACUCUCAAAAAGUAAACUAUGACAAUUAAAAAGAACAGAGAGAAUAUAUUUGAAAAACUCUUGUCUUGAUGCAAUUAAAUAAGGCCAAUUAGGACACAAUACUUUGAAUUUUGAAAUGGUAUUUUAAAGAGUAAAAAGACAAAAAACAGUGACCAAGAAACAUGGGAUUCCACUGCCCAAUUGAACUCUUUUUAGCCAGAUUUUGACUUUAAUAUUGUUGACUCACUCACUGACUUUUUGAGCUUUUUCGAAAGGUCAAAAUAAAACUUUUUUACUUUUUGGUUAAUUUUUCAAAAAUUAUAUUUGACUUUACUCAUGUAAUUACAGUAUUACAUUAUUAUUAUUGUCUAUAAUAAUAUUUUGUUGUGAUAUUAUUUAAAAAAAAUAUCAAUUCAAACGAUGCUAUUAUAGAAAAGCUUAAAGAUUUGAAAUAGCAAUAAGGCAGUACUAUAAAGUUGUUUGUGUUUAAAUUAAAGUGCAGUGAAUUUGCUGCCAAAAAGGUUGUUUUACUCACGUGUAAACUAAAGACAACUUUAAGACAGAAAUUAAUGAAAUCUUUCUUUAGGUCCCAUUUAUUACUUUUAGAAUAAUUGUUUCAAAUUAUUUAUUAUUUUAAAAAUUUAAGGAAAAUUGAUUAAAUUUUUUAUUUUACUUUUAAUAGUAAUUAUUCUUGAAAACUAUAAAUACUUUAAUUAUGAAAUGACGACAAAUAAAUUGAAUUAGGACAAAUAAAAAUUAGAUAGUCAAAAUUCUUUUUAAGUAUUGUUUUUAAAAAUGUGCAAAAAUAGAAUACUAUAGAUAAUUUAAAACGUAUAGCAGUGUUGUCUCCCUAAUUAAUACAAAAUGCAUACAUUUUCUUGCCUGUUGGUCAGUGGUAGCUAGGAAUUCAUUCAUUCUUUUUUCUUUGUUUGUAAGGACUCUUUCUUGUUGAAUAUAUAUAUAUUUUUCGAUUGUUUAAUCAUAAAUUUUGAAAUUAAAACUUGAAAUGUGAAUCUUUUGAAGUUGUAUCUAUUUUACCAUCUAAAUUAACAACCUUCAUCUUUCUUUUUUUUACUUUUAAAGUAUUAGUAUGAAGUUUUUAUUCUUUUUUAAUUUAUAUUGUUAGACUUACCUACAGAAUAAGAAAAAAAAAACUUAUUAUGAAGUAAAAAGUGAAAAAAUAGUUGAAGAACUAUUAGUGUUUCACAACAAAGAAUAAGGAUUAUUUUAAUUCAAAUCCCAAUCUUAAGAGACUAUUAGUUUUUGAAUAUGUAUUUAUUAAUUUUAAUUUUAAUAUAUUGAAUUAAUCAAAUCAACAUUCAAAUAGUAACAUUAUAUCUUCAAUUUUGCAGAAAUAAUCAACUUCCAAUUAGUCAAUAUGAAAUUAAUUCCAUAUUUUAAUAGAUUUUAAAAGAACAUUUUUGUAGAGCAAUUGAAUAAAUAAUUGUUGUAUUAAAUAAAAAAAAUACAUAAAAUAAAUAUAAUCUGAAUAUAUGAAUUCAAAGUAUAUAUUGAUAAUUGAAACUGAACUUUAUUAAUGAUAUUCAAAUUCUUUAGUUAUUUAUACAUCAAUAAAGCUCGCAACAUAAAACUUAUCUUAUAAGUGUUUAUUAAGAAAAAACAUAAUGUUUUUCCUAAUAAAACAUUAUUAUUAUUGAAAAUUUAUCAUUAGUGACAAUUAUCAUGACAUGCUUGUUGAAAUGAAUAACAUAUAUUUGGUUUAUCCAAUUCACAACACCAAAGUUCUGGUGGUUCAGAAGCCUUGAAGCAUGGAUCGAAAUCUUUCACCCCGACUGUUAUACUUUCAUCACCUGUAUUUUAUAAAAAAAUAUAUAAGAUUAAUUGACUUCUAUGUACUAAUCGUUUAUAACAAUUUAAAUAAUAAUAAGUAUAAAAUAUGAACAUACAUUGAUGGAGAGCCAGCAGAGAAAAUAAAAUUACGCAAAGUAGCAAAAUUGAUAAAAAGGAGAAUUUUAUAGUGGCCAUGAAAAAUAUAAUUUGAUGUUCGAAACUCAAAAGAUAGUGAAAAAUAUGUAUGAAAUUGUCCAAAAUAUAUAGCCAUUGCAAUUGCUUGAUUUUGGUAAAUGAUGCAAACUAAUAAUUAAUUAAUCAAGUUAUUUCCUAAUCUAUACAUCCAUAGAAUCAAGGAUAUAAAAUAAAUUGGGGAAAAAAAUUAAAUAUAUCUUACUAAUUCAUUCAACAUUUUUAUAAAUUAUUUAAUUUCCUAAAAUAACUCUUCCAUUUCCUUUCACUACACCUCAUUAAUAUAUUUUAAUUUAUUUUCCUAAUAAAUUGCGCAAUGUGAAUUUUAUUUUGGAAAAUUGUAUGAAAUAGCAAACUAUUGAUUCAAAUUAAAUGUUAUAGCCAUAGUUUAUUUUAUUUGUAAUUCACAGCAAACAUCCCAUUUUUUUGCCAUUUGGUUCGGUAUACAAUUACCCAUAUACAAAUGUAUAAAAUGCGUUUGUGUUUGUAUAAAGCGAGAGAAAAGUGUGUAUACAAAAUACAUAUAUUUUCGUCCUAUACACUUAUAAUUAUUACAAAUUACAUAUCUUAUUAUACAAAUUCAAUAUAUAAAUAAAUUUAUACAAAACUGAACAAUUUGUAUAAAAUUGGAUGUAUCUAGCGAUUAUGCAAACUAUAACUAUAACAUACAAAUAUGAUUUUUAUGUUUGCUAUAUGUGAAAGUUGCUCUUUUAUUUUUUGAUGAAAAAUGAAUAAAUGUGUGUUUGAAUUUUUUUUUCCCUUUUUAAAAUCAAGUAAUUAGUGAGUAAGGUAAAUAAUACGAAAAAUAAAUUGGGGUUCAUAGAACCAGCAUAGUUCAGAUAUGAAAAUUUGACAACUUUGUCAUGAUUUAAGUGUGUUGCAAUGCCUUAAUAUUCCUAGUUUUUAUGAAGCUUCAAUUCAAUUAAAGCCUUAAUUUUUUGAAUUAAAACGAGAGAAAAUUUGAAAAUUUGAAAAAUUAGAUAACUGGUAAUUCUUGUUCAUGAGAGGUGUCACAUCAUUAUUUUUAUGACCAAAAUUAUAUAAAUGAUAUAAAUUUCAAUUUAUUUCAUUCGAUGUGAUUGUAAUCGACCAAUAAUUUCUUUAUGCUUUUGUCUAAUUUCAUUAGAAACAUGUGUCAAAAUCAAGCAUCAUUUGUCACAUUUAUAACAACCUAAUAUGCUUAACGUUAUUGUUGAAUAUGAGAAUAAUUAGUAGUUUUAAGGAUAUUUUUUUUAAGAAUCGUGCGAGUUACGCAUAAAGUGAAUAAUAUCACAUGAUAUUAAAAGUAUUUUUGAGUAAUUAUAAGCGAUGUCACAUUUUUAAAACGUCAAUUAAUCACUAUAAAGAUAUGAGAGAUGAGAAUAAUAAUAUUUACAAAUGACAUAAAAAUCUAAAUUUUUGUGAAGCAUAAAGCAAUGAGUUUAUUUGCCUUACAUUUGAGCCAACGCUAUAAACUCUUACACGUUUUUUUUAAAACUAAAUAUUAUUUUUUUAUUUCAUUAUAUUUAAGCAAAAUCAUAUUUCAAUUCAUGUGAGAGUCAAAUUAGUUAGGCCAUUAAUAUGUAAUCUAAAAAGUCAUGGUAAACAGUCAAAGAUGGAAUUGAUUCCAUAUUACUCCAUUAAUCUUUAGAAAAAUAAAAUAAUUAAUUAAUAUGAAAUAAGAAAAGUAAAAAAUAGUCGAAAAAGAAGAAAAAGAAUCUUAUUUAUGAUUUAAAAAAGUAAAAAAAAAUAGUCGAAGGAAUAUUAGUGUUUCACAACAAAGAAUAAGGAUUAUUUUAAUUCAAAUCCCAAACUUAAGGGACUAUUUUGAACAUUUCCUUUCACUUUUAAAACUUGAGUAACUUUAUUGGAACGAAAAAAUAAAUAAAUAACUUUACUAGGUAAUUUCAGUAAAUUGAGUGGUCAAUCAAGAAUUUGUAUAUUAAUUUUAAUAUAUUGAAUCAAAUCAACAUUCAAAUAGUAACAUUUUGUCUUCAGUUUUGCAGAAAUAAAUCAACUUCCCAUUAUUCAAGAUGAAUUAUUUCCACAUUUUGUUCGAUUUUAAAAGAUUUAUUUUGUAGAGAAAUUAAUCAAUUGAUUAAUCGAUGUUCAAGAACUUUUUUUAAAAGAAGAUUUGAACAACUCAUUUGGUUGUUUUUGCAAGUAUUUGACUCAUUUCGAUUAUGAAUUAUAAUUAAGUUCUUGCGUUAUGAAAAAAAUAAUGCACACAAUAAAUUUUAAAUAAAUAAUGCACACAUUAAAUUUCAAAUAAAUGAAAUAUGUAAGAUAAAUAUAAUCAAAAUAUCUAAAAUUUUGAAGUAAGUAUUGAUAAUUGAAACUAUAAUUUUAUUAAUGAUAAUCAAGUUCUUUUAUUUGUGUUACCCAUCAACAAAACUACCAAUAUAAAACUCAUGUGUACUGAUUAUUGAGAAUAAACGUAAUUAAGGAUUUCUCUAAUUAACAUUAAGAACAUUCUGCAUGACAUGCACCAAUAGAAUCAUAGCAUUUGAGUGGUUCAAACAACUUGCAACACCAUUGGGGUGGGUUGGUUUGAUCAUUUUCGAUGCAUGGAUCGAUUGGUUUCGUUUUUAUCCUUAUUCUUAUACGUGCAUCACCUGUAUUUCAUAAAAACAGAAAAUAUAUAAGAUCUGACAAAGCAUAAAAGUUAUUUUUACAUACGUUUAUCGCCUGUAUUUCAUUCCUUUUUCUUGAAAAAUGUUCAUAGAAAUAAUAAUAAAUAUAAAAGAAUGGAUAUGAACCUACAUUGAUGAAGAGCCAACAUAGAAAACAAAACUAUGCAAAGUAGCAAAGCUGAUUGAAGGGAAAUUUUAUAGUGGCCAUUAAAAAUAUAAUUUAGUGCUCAAAACUCAAAAGAUAAUGAGAAAUAUGUAUGAAAUUGUUUAGAAUAUAUAGCCAUUUAAAAUACUUAAUUUUGGUAAGUGACACAAAUUAUUAGUUAAUUAAUCAUAUUAUUUCUUAAUUUGUAUAAUGAAAUAUUUUAGAAUAUAUUGCCAUUGAAAAUACUUGAUUUUGGUAAGUGGCACAAAUUAUUUGUUAAUUAAUCAUAUUAUUUCUUAAUUUGUAUAAUGAAAUAUUUUAGAAUAUAUAGCCAUUGAAAAUACUUGAUUUUGGUAAGUGACACAAAUUAAUAGUUAAUUAAUCAUAUUAUUUCUUAAUUUGUAUAAUUAAAUAUUUUAGAAUAAUAUAUAUUCAUUGAAAAUACUUGAUUUUUAUAAGUGACACAAAUUAUUUGUUAAUUAAUCAUAUUAUUUCUUAAUUUGUAUAUUCAUAGAAUUCUGAAUUUUAAGAGAUCAAAAUCUCUAUUUUUUUAAUUUUUCAAUUUUGAUACUUUUUUCUUAUUUCAUACAUGUGAAAAAUGGGGGAAAAUUAAAUAUAUCCUAAUAAUCUCAUCAUUAUAAUUUAUUUCAUUUCCUAAAAUACUCUUUUGUCUUCUUUUAUUAUUGUCUGUUUGAAUUAACUUUUGACUUUUUAUUUAUAAGUCAAAAAUUAAAAAUUUUAUAAACAAAAAAUUAUAAAGAAAUUUUAAUUUAUGAUUUUUGACUUAUUUUUUAUUAUUGUAACUUAAAAGCACCUUUAAAUUUUACCUAAAUAUUAAAAGAGUGUUUUAAAAAUUAUUUUGACUUAAAAACAUUUCAAAUAAGUCAAUUCAAACAGGCUAUUCCUCAUUAAUAUCAUUUAAUCCAUUUCCUAAAAUUUAUUUUUUAUUUUGGUAAAAACUUGGUGUGUGAAAGUGUACAAUCUGAUUAAUUGCAAUGUGUAUUUUAAUUUUGGGAUGAAAGAAUAAAUAAGCAUGUGUUUGCAUAUGUGUUUUAACUUAUUUUUCUAUCAAAUAAAAUGAAGGGGGUAAAUAUUAUGAAAAAAAUAAGUUCAAGAGGUUCGUAAAAUCUCACAUAGUUUAGAUGUCUGAUAAUUUCGUCAUAGUUUAAGUGUGUUUGUAUGGCUUAUCUCUAGUUUUAUGAAGCUUCGAUUCAAUUAAAAUGAGAUGUUUUUUAUAUAUAUAAAAAUUGAGAAAUUAGAUAACUAGUGAUUCUUGUUAGAGAUGUCAUGUCACUGUUUUUAUUCAUUGAAUUAUAUAAAUAUUUAUUUAUUUCAUUCGAUGUGGUCGUAAUAUUCCAAUAAUUUCUUUAUUGUUUUUGUCUAAUUCCCACUAGAAACAUGACCCAAAAUCAAGUUUGUUUGAUCACAAUUCACAUUCAUAACUACCUAGUAUGCUUAACAUUAUUGUAAAAUGUGGAAAUAAAAUUUUACAUUAAUAACUAAAAAGAAAGCUAAGCUAUAUUUAAGGUGCAAUGAUAUUUUUAACGGAGUGAGUUAUUUUUGAGAAAAAAUACAAACAAAGCUUCGUUUAAAAGUAUAUUUGUGAAAUCUAUUCCAUUUUGCAUUAUUUAGAGGAAAAUCUGAUCCUAACUAAUAAUGACAAGGAUAUAUUUGACCCAACUAUUAAUAUAGGACAAAUUUACUCCUUGUAUAGUUCAAAAGUAAAUUUGAUCUUAACUAGUAACGACGAGUGCAUAUUUGACUCCAACUACUAGUAAAGGACAAAUUUAUUUCAUUUCGCAUAAUUCAAGAGCAAAUUUGACCCUUUACCUUACUUCUUUAUAAAGUUAGAGUAACUAGCUAGUGUUGGUGACACUUGCGCUUAAACCUUUCGUAUCCCAAACCACCAAUAUGUGUUUGUGUAAUAUAUUUUAUGAAUAACAAAGAUACAUGAGGUAAAGUUGAUAUUUUGGGAUCUUUACACAAAUAGUCAAUUGGAUUAACUAUUUAUUAUUUUUAGUCAGUAUAUUUAAAUAUUAUAUAAAAUCAUACACAUAUUGUACAUCUCUCAGCUUAUAAUAAGUUGAAUCAAUUUGAAGUAGCAAAUUAUUUUGGUGUUACCUUAUAUGCCCCGGAGCAUAAAAGGUUAGCACUACCUUAUGGUAACAAUUUUUUCUUCUAUUUUGCACCAACAUUAUAUGUUUGUUUGGGUCCAAUUGGUACUAUAUAUAUACAAUUUUUUUGCAUGGACUGCCUUAUUUAUAGGUGAUCUUGAUUUUUUAUCUCGCAAAUUCGUGAACUAUCAAGUAAGAGUAUAUAUGCUUGUUUGGGCCUAACGGUGAAAACAAUAAAUAUUAUAUCUAGAGAAAGCCUUAUACGUAAUGUGUCAACCUUAUAUAAAAGUGCAUGAUAGUGAAUGAAAAAUAUUUAUACACAAGUAUAGUUAAAUUGGAAUAACAAACUCAAACUAUGAGCUACAUGACGUAAAUAUUUUCUUUCUGGCAGACAUAAAACUUACGUUUUUGUUAUUUUCAAUGUGGUAGAAAAAUUGUUCAGUAAUUUUUUUUAUUGCUCGUCUAGUUUAGCAAAAGCAUCUUCAAAAAAUCCAAAUAUAUAUAUAUAAUUUUUUUUUUUUUUUGUGAGUUUCACAUCCUAACUAUUAUUUGUUUUUUUUAACCUGAACUUUCACCAUUUAUAUAUCAAACCACUAGAUAUUACUGUGAGUUUUACGCCGCAAAAGAAAUCACAUAGCUUCGCGUCUCCUGUUAUAAUUAAAUGCGUAUAAUUAUAUGUUAUCAUAAACUUUCAAAUACACAUAAUUUUACAAAUAUUCACUAGUUCAAUUAAUUAAUAUUAGUAGUAACUAGUUAUUCUCUAACACAAACCUCCCACGUGGUACAAAAAACCUCUUAACGUCGAACAAUGAAUUUUAUUUUUAUUUUUGCAAAAUUUAAAUGAGGGAUCUUUAUUUGAAAAAUAUAAACUUAUGAGUUAAGUUAUAUAUUUUUUUUAAAAAAUAAAAGAACAAUUUGAAAUUUGAAAUUAAAAUUUUAUUCACAUUUAGCAAAUGUUGAACUUCAAAUUUGAAUCCUAAAUUCUAUGACCAAACGCCUAUCAGAAGUGUAUUUGGGUGAAGGUCCUUCUACUCAUCUUUUUUUUUCUUCUUAUGUAGCUUUUUGUUUAUAAAAUAUAUCGCACAAAAGUAUAUUUAUACAUAUAGUUUGAUUCCAAUUAAUCUAAUGUGAAAAACUUAACGUAAAUGUCAAGAAUCGUAUAUCUAAAACUAUCUAAUUGAAGACAAACAUCCGUCAUUUCUUCAGCACAUUAAAUUACAAAUCAAUGGAUUAAAUUGAACUUAAUAGCUUAGAGAGUUUUUCUCUUUCUUGUUUUUCAUGAUAAAGCUAUAUAUUUAUAUGUUCGAUUGCUUUGUUUUUUUGUUGAGGGCCUAACUAUCAGAAAAGAAAUUCCUUUCUUCCAAGUUAAGAAAUGUUUUCCAAUAUUAAUCUAAAUAUUUAAUUAAUCACGUUCAUUUUAACUAUUCAAUACAUAUAAAAUAAUUAUACAUGAUUUCAAUAGAUUGUUUGCUACACAAAUUCAUCCAUCGUUGUAUCAUUUGGUGGUCAACAUGUGUUUUAGAUGAAUAAGAUACAUUUGUUUAUUUUCAUUGCUUGCAAAGCAAAGUUAUUAGACCUAUUAGUACCAUGCAAUAGGUCUUAUUGAAUUUUUCGAUCUCAUGGAACAGAUUUGACAAUUAAAAAAAUAAUCAAAUAGAGAAAAAAUAAAAUUGUCCUUAACAGUUGUCGUUGCAGAUGUUAUUUUACCACUAAUAACUCUCUAUUAUGGAUCUUUGUAUAAAUUUAAUUUCCAUUUAUUUAUUUUUUUGCUUAUCAAUUUCUCUCCUUUUUUUUUAGUAUAUUGAGAUUCUUUUUUGUUUUGAUUCAGAAUCAUUGAAAAAUGAGAUUUAAAUGUGAUUUAGAGUCUACUAAUGGGAGAUUGCAUAAAAAUAAUAAUAAGAAUAUAGAAUGCAAAAAAAUUAAUCUCAAGUGGUAAUAUGUGAAAAUUUUACUAAGCUAAACUAAGGAGAUACAAAUGGAAUCGAACCCUCAUCAAUAAGGUGAGAGUACAGGGAACCAACUAACUAAACUACUAAGAUGAAGAAAAGUUCAUAGACAACACCAGCAAGCCCACCACCAACAAUGGGCCUAGCCCAAUAUAACUAAUGAUGAGUCCAUGCCCAACUAACCAAAGUUGACCCAAAAGAAACAAUAGGGUUCAUUGAUGCUCCAUCAAAAGCCCCAUCAACAAGAAUAUUGACCCAACAAUAGCAAUUGGAGCAAUUUCCUUAUAUCAAUUUCUCCCAUUUUUUUGGUCAAUAGCAAUUGCAUAAACAUGAAUUAGCCUAAGGAGGAGCUCACCUUUGAUUACUUAGUUGGUGAAGCAAUAGCUUAUCAAAUUCAUACGGUCUAUUCAAAUUGAUUAUACUCAAAUCAAGAAAAUGGUUAACUGCAUCAACGAUAAUAAAAAUGACUUCUUUAUAGGAACUUAUAAUUUCAAUAUGAUACAUAUUAUUUAAAUUCCGAACUAGAUAUAGUAAGAAAAUAAAUCUUGAGAAAUGAAAUAAACAAAUAAAGAUCAUUCCCACACCGUGUUUGCAAGACUAUAUGUUGAUUAGAUUUUAACUCGUUCCAUUAUUAACUAUUAGUUGUCCAAGGGCAUAAGUCCGAUAUUUCUGUUCUUAAAACUUUAUUUUCGGUGCGAUUACUUACUUCAUCACAAUUUAGAUACAUAUUUGUACUUCCUCCUGUAGAAAAAUAUGGUCAAUGCUUCUAAUUUUUCGUCUAAGUUAAGACUUUUUCAUUCGGAUGAAAUAAGCAAAAACCUUUCACUUUCAACAUAGGAAGUAAUAUCAUAACUUUAGUACAUAUAAUUAAAUAAAAUAAUCUCAAAAUUAUCUAAUACCUUAACCCAGGCUUCAACAAAAAACUGAAGAAUAACAAUAACAAGUAAAUAAAUUAAGUAAUUCCUCAUAUAAAAUUAUUGACUCUAGAGAUAAAAUAAUAUUAGAGAAGACAAGAAUUGUUUUGAGCACCAACAAAACCAAAAACAAUGCUUUAAAUUAAAUUUUAUCCCAAAAUUAAUAUUUUAUUUCACACACCAAACAACUUUUUAACUUUUAUGUUAUAAAAUUAAUAUACCUAGAAACUAUACAAAGUAUAAUAAAGCACCAUUUCAUAGUAAUUUUUUUUUUAAUAUACAUUUAAGAAUAUCAUAAAGUUGUUUAAUUAAUAAUUAUUAUAAAAAAUAUAUAGACACAGACAAAAUUUCAAGAAGCUAAUAAGAAAAAAAAUCCAAGAAAACUCAAAAGAUAAAAUCUUGUUUCUCAGCUAUCAAAACAUUAUCAUUUUAUCAAUUUAUCAUCUCAUCUUUCAGCCACCAUUGUGGCAGCAGCCAUGGCCGCCCACUCAAUCUUCACCACAACCAGCACUACCAAUUCUUUCUUAUACCCAAUUUCUUCUUCUUCCCCUAACAUUAACUCUUCUUUUCAUGGUGUUUCACUCAAUGUUAAGUCAAAUUUUCGCCAAUCUUUGACCCUUUAUGCUGUCAAUACUCCCAAACCCCUUACUGUUUUUGCUGCUACUAAGAAAGCUGUUGCUGUCCUUAAGGGCAACUCUAAUGUUGAGGGGGUUGUCACUCUAUCUCAAGAUGAUGGUGGUUGUUUACUUUUUCUUUGUUUAUGCUUUAAUUUGCUGUUUUUGGGGUUAUAUUUGUGGAUUGUGGCUUAAAGAUGUAAUCUUUAUUACUAAUGGCUUCAGACCCUUUUGUUUGAAUCUUUAUCUGUUAGCAUUUCCACCCUUUUGUGUUCUAAUUUACUGUUUUUUCUUGUCAUAUUUGUGGAUUGUGACCUAAAGUUGUAAUCUUUAUUACUAAUGUUUAAUACCCUUUUAUUUGAAUCUUUAUCUGCUUCCAUUUCCACACUUUUGUGCUUUAACUUUCCUACUGAUUUUUGUUAUGCUGUACUUGAGCUGAGGCCUGAGGGUCUGUUCGAAAUACCCUCUCUACCUUAAUAAGAUAGGGGUAAGGUUUGCGUACACACUACCAUCCCCAGACCCCACUUGUUGGAUUGUGAACUAAAGAUGUAAUCUUUAUUACUAAUGUUUCAUACCCUUUGUUCUGAAUCUUUAUCUGUUUAUUUUUCCACCCUUUUGUGUUCUAAUUUACUGUUUUUAGUUAUUUCAUAUUCGUAGAUUGUGACCUUAAGAAGUAAUCUUUUUUACAAAUGUUUCAUACCCUUUUAUUUGAAUCUUUAUCUGUUGAUUUGUCCAUCCUUUAUGCUCUAAUUUUCUCUUCUGUUGUCACAUUUGUGAUUGUGAACUAAAGAUGUAACCCUUUCUAAAUAUAUUUCAUACCCUUUUAUCUAAAUCUUUAUCUGUUUGCAUUUCCUACAUUUAUGCUCUAAUUUGCUCUUCUGUCAUCACAUUUAUGAACUAAAGAUGCUCUAAAGAUUUAAGCCUUUCUGAGUAUAAUUCGUACUCUUAUAUCUGAAUCUUUAUCUGUUUGCAUUUCCACCCUUUAUGCUCUAAUUUUUUUUCCCGUUUUCCACCCUUUAGCCUUUCUGAGUAUAAUUCGUCACCUUAGAUGUAAUCUUUAUUAAGAACUUUCGUACCCUUUUAUCUGUAUCUUUAUCUGUUUGCAUUUCCACCCCUUAUGCACUAAUUUGCUUUUCUGUUGUCACAUUGGUGGAUUCUGACCUAAAGAUAUAAGCUUUUCUUAGAGUAUUUUCACAGCCAUUUGUCCGAAUCUUUAUCUGUUACUUCUGUUACUACUCAUUAUGUCCUUAUUUGGUUUUGUAUUACAAUAAUUUUUGUUUGUGACCUAAAGAUGUAAGCUUUUAUAGGAAUAUUUCAUACCCUUUUGUAUUGAGUAUUUAUUUCUUUUUCUUCUUUGUAUAGGUCCAACUACGGUUAAUGUUCGUAUAACUGGACUUGCUCCUGGACUUCAUGGGUUUCAUUUAGUAAGUAAUGGUUGCUACAAUUUGAAUUGUACUGCUUUUCUUAUGUACUUGUUCUUGUGGCAAUUAUUGGUGAAUUUUGUUUAAUGUUAUGCUUUGGCUUGUGUUGCAUUGUGUUGUAGCAUGAAUAUGGUGACACUACAAACGGGUGUAUGUCUACAGGUUAGCUUCUGAUUUAGUUUGAAGUUUGAAUUAAUCGAAAUGUUGGUGAUUUGGAACUCCUCUUGUAAUGUACUAAAAAAAGUUGAAACUCUUCUAGUAGCUAGUUGGAAAUGACGUCUUUAGUUCUAGUUUUGCUGGUACUAGUUUGAAAUUUGUUCCCUUUUGUUUUACUGCAGGAGCCCAUUUCAAUCCCAAUAAAUUGACACAUGGAGCUCCUGGAGAUGAAAUCCGUCAUGCGGGUGACCUGGGAAACAUAGUGGCCAAUGCCGAUGGUAAAGUACAUGUUUUCAAUUCUUUCAUAGCUCUUUGAUUCUGUUUUUGUUUGUUAAGAUGGAUGAUGACUUUCUGGAUUCUUGAUUGUGCUUACUGUAUGCAGGCGUGGCUGAAGCAACACUUGUAGAUAAUCAGGUUGUUACAUUAACCUUGUCUGGACAUCGUCAUUCGAUCUCACUUUAUGUGCUCUAUGUUUGUUAUUGUUACAGUUUUAGGAUAAUUUACUGACUCUACCUUUUGUGCACCAAUUAGAUACCAUUGACCGGUCCAAACUCAGUUGUUGGACGAGCACUUGUAGUUCAUGAGCUUCAGGAUGACCUCGGAAAGGGUAAGGUUCUACAUUUUGUACAUUGAUCCAUUUUAAUCUGUGAAUUUGAAAAGGUUAUUUCUGCGAGUGUAUCAAAUUUAUUUGGUGCAUGCUAUACUACCUUUACAUUUUUUUGGAGGUCUCUGUGGUGCCUUCAUCUAACCCUCAUUUGGUGGUCUCUCUGUAGGUGGCCAUGAACUCAGCCUUACCACUGGCAAUGCUGGUGGACGAUUGGCAUGUGGUAAGAAGAAACACUCUUUUCUUCGCCUUUUCGCGCUGCUCUCUCUUCCUUCUUGUAUAAUUUCUAGACUGAUAUUAUUCCUGCUAAAUGAAAACAACAACAAUAACAUACUCAGUGUAGAGUGUAGUCCCACAAAGUGAGGUCUGGGGAGGGUUGUGUGUACACAGACCUUAUUUCUAUCCCUACCUCAGAGGUAGAGAGGCUUUCUCCGAUAGGCCUCGGUUCAAGGAAAAACAGUCCAAAGCAGUUCAGGAAAAGAAGUAACGGAAUUACAAAAAACAACAGAUAAUAACAAAACAAUAGAUAGUAACACAAUAGAAACUACAACAAAACAAUACCAUAAUCGAGGUACAAGGAAUCAACAAAUAGUAACAGAAAUCUAAGGACAAGAAAAUACGGGAGUAAUACUACAGUUACUAAUAUUAACGGACUGCAAGACACCACACUGCUAUCUACUAACCUAUGAAAUAAAAAGGCAAAGCUAAAAUUAGUAGAACUUAGCCUGGUAUUGUUUUAACCCCUAGUUGCAUAGUGUUUAUAAUGGUUAAUAAUCUUAAGAGCUCGUUUUGCAAGUGUUCCUUGACUAAAACUUUGACAGUGUUCAAUGUCUAGAACUUUAUUGGGCUAGGAAACGAAUGUUCGUUUUGCAAAAAGAAACAAGAUGCAUGCUAAGACUUCCUUUCGAAGAGGCAGCCUGUUUUGACCUGCUUUGGGUGAUUAUGCUUCUUUCUUUUUCUAAAUUAGCCUGACUAGUAAAAACAAUUUGGUGUGUAAGACAACCAAAAGUAAAAGGGUCCUCCUGGCAGAUUUUCAUUGAAUAUGUGGUGCAUUUUGUUUGGUUGAUAUCCUUCUGCAUAUAGCUAGUUUGCUUCUCUCUCCGUUUUCAGCUUAGCAGCAAUUAUAUAUAUAUAAUUUUUUUUUUUUUUUUAUGACAAGGGAAACCCGCAGCCGCUACCCUUUGGGUGCACACAAGGUAAAAACCCCGCUCCUAUGCAAUAGCUCGCAAACCACAUAGGAGAGGUAACCCUCACUAGGCAAGCCUGGUGCGACGAGCUCGACCCACCAACCCAGAAGGCAAACCCCUUGCUUUCGCUGGCAAGGGGUUUCGAACUUGAGACCUCCAACAUGGAAGUCCCAAGCCCAAACCAACAACACACAUGAAUUAUGUAACAACAACAUACCCAAUAGAAUCCCACAAGUGGGGUCUUCGGAGGAUAGUGUGUACGCAGACCUUAACCCUACCUUGGGAGGUAGAUAUGUUGUUUCCAAUAGACCUUCAGGCUUCAGCUUAAGAAAAUAACAUGAGUGAAGAAAUCAAGGCAAAAUACUAAACAAGGCAUGACAAAGCAUUCUGAAAAAGGAUAGUAACUACAGCUAUGUAAUAUAAUAAUCAAAGUACAAGGGAUAAUGACUAGUAACUUAAAUCGAAGAAACAAGAAACUACUAGAGUAAUACUAUGACUACUAGUAAGGAAGGAUAAGCAAGACAACACUCAUCUACCUACAACCUUCUACCCUAAUCUCUGUCCUCCAUAAUCUCCUAUCUAAGGUCAUGUCCUUGGUAAGCUGAAGUUGCACAGGAAUUGUGUAAAAUUAAAAAAUUAAGUUUACAUUUAAUAGAUGAACUCCAACAGUGUCGUUAACAUUUGCACUUCCCUGGAAGGGGUCAAUGAGCGAUCAAUAAGGCUCAUGGCUUACGCUGGUGAUUUCCAUUGCACUUUGGAAGGGUGCCAAGUUAAGGUAGGCCCAAGUCAGUUUUAAAAAAAAAACAUUUGCACUUCCCUGUGGAACCUAUUCAAUCCUUGUCCUUAUCUUCCCUCCUGGACACAAACAUCUCUGUUUUAUGUAUUUGUAGUUUUGUGGAGGGUAUUCUUCAUUUCUAGUUAAUGUGGUCAGAAUCAGAGUAUACUGUAUACCUGUUUCUAUGAGAAACUACUACUUCUAUGGCUUCUUAUCUUGCAACUUGUCUUCAAUAUUUUAUGUUUAUUUUUAUUUGUAUAUACAUGUGUGUGCGCUCGCGCAUAUGUCAAUGUGAAUAAACUUCAGGUCUUGGCACCCAAAAAAUAUCAGCCAAUAAAACACAGUUGGUCAUCCUUCGGGGUAGCCCAGUAGUUUGGGCUUGGGACUUCCAUGUUGGAGGUCUCAAGUUCGAACCCCUUGCCAGUGAAAGCAAGGGGUUUGCCUUCUGGGUCGAGCUCGUCGCACUAGGCUUGCUUAGUGCGGGUUACCUCUCUUGUGUGGUUUGCUAGCUAUUGCAAGGAGCGGGUGGUUUACCAUGUGCGCACCCAAAGGGUAGUGGCGGCGGGUUUCCCUUGUCAAAAAAAAAACAAAACAAAAAACAAAGUUGGUCACUACAGAUGCAGCUCGUAAAAGUUAUUUCAGGAAACAUACCUGACCUCAAGGUGGAAUAGAAGGAAAAUGAAACCUCCGAAGAAGGAAACUAUGACUAAUUAGACCUUUUGGUGACCAAAUGAAAACAUCACCGAAUGUGAGAUACAGUAUAGAAGUAGGUUUUGCAAACUGAUCCUCUGCAGCUAUUUUGAUUCCUCCAGAGAGCUUCAAAUCAACCGUUGAUAGCUAGGAUAUUUUUUUUACAUAUAUUUGUAGUUGCUUUCACUGUGAAGUAUUGUGCACCCUAUACUAGAUCAUGCACAUUGUGAGGCUAACUAUAGUAGACCAGGACUUUACAAUUCAUGUUUCAGUUUCCAGAGAGUGUGCGUGUACAAUAUUGGAAGAGUGCCUUGAUUGCACCAUAUGUAAGAUCUGUUUUUCAUGAAGGUUCAAAAUUCAUGUGCCAUUUAUGUGAGGUUUAACAAAGCACUCAAAAGAGAGACCUUUUCAAGUUUGUUAUAAAAAAGAGUGAAGUUUGAAGUUAGCUCCAACAUCCUACACCAUUCUGCCUGCCAUCCACCAGGUGCCAGCUCCUGAAAACAUGCCUUUCUUUUCUCGCUGAGUAGUUCAUCGCCAUGCCCCCUCUCCAUUCCCCGAGACAGAUUUCUUUAGGGUUUACUUGUUAUUGGUCUACGUAUAGACUUCUGAACAUCAUUGCUUUAACACUAAUAACUGUUAGAAAUGGACUGUGAAGGUAUGGUUUGUCUGACUUCAAUAUGUCGAGAGGAAGACUCAAUUACAAGUACAUUAGUAGAAGUAUCAUAGAUAUGUGACUUCUCCACUUUGACUUAUUAUUUCGUUCAAGUUGAGAUCUUUCCUCUACUUUGGAUUUCUUAAAUGCCGGACAUGUUUCUCUUUAUACUUUCAGAAGAGAGGCUUCUCGUGUACCUCUCUCUUGCCACU